RNAcentral lists this ribosomal RNA (750 nucleotides) under uncultured bacterium. RNAcentral's name for it is "bacterial SSU rRNA". It matches the Rfam family "Bacterial small subunit ribosomal RNA", at positions 45 to 787 of the family's 1533-position model. The record is from RNAcentral.
GGAAAGAUUAAUGGCAGUCGAGGGGCAUCGGGAGGGAGCUUGCUUUCCUUGCCGGCGACCGGCGCACGGGUGAGCAACACGUAUGCAACCUGCCCUCUUCAGGGGGACAACCUUCCGAAAGGGAGGCUAAUCCCGCGUAUAUCGGUUUCGGGCAUCCGGGAUCGAGGAAAGAUUCAUCGGAAGAGGAUGGGCAUGCGGCGCAUUAGCUUGACGGCGGGGUAACGGCCCACCGUGGCGACGAUGCGUAGGGGUUCUGAGAGGAAGGUCCCCCACACUGGUACUGAGACACGGACCAGACUCCUACGGGAGGCAGCAGUGAGGAAUAUUGGUCAAUGGGAGAGAUCCUGAACCAGCCAAGCCGCGUGAGGGAAGACGGCCCUAUGGGUUGUAAACCUCUUUUGUCGGAGAACAAAACCCGGGACGUGUCCCGGACUGCGUGUAUCCGAAGAAAAAGCAUCGGCUAACUCCGUGCCAGCAGCCGCGGUAAUACGGAGGAUGCGAGCGUUAUCCGGAUUUAUUGGGUUUAAAGGGUGCGUAGGCGGUCCGUUAAGUCAGCGGUAAAAUUGCGGGGCUCAACCCCGUCGAGCCGUUGAAACUGGCAGACUUGAGUUGGCGAGAAGUACGCGGAAUGCGCGGUGUAGCGGUGAAAUGCAUAGAUAUCGCGCAGAACUCCGAUUGCGAAGGCAGCGUACCGGCGCCAGACUGACGCUGAGGCACGAAAGCGUGGGGAUCGAACAGGAUUAGAUACCC